Molecule: ribosomal RNA, 322 nt
Filed under: uncultured eukaryote
Lineage: Eukaryota
Description: partial 18S ribosomal RNA
Rfam family: Eukaryotic small subunit ribosomal RNA
Source: RNAcentral
CCCUUAGAUGUUCUGGGCCGCACGCGUGCUACACUGAGUGGAUCAGCGGGUCAGGUUGCCCGAAAGUGUUUCCUAAUCUUUAAAUCCGCUCGUGAUGGGGAUUGACGGUUGCAAUUUUCCGUCAUGAACGAGGAAUACCUUGUAAGCGCGGGUCAUCAUCCCGCGCUGAAUACGUCCCUGCCCUUUGUACACACCGCCCGUCGCUCCUACCGAUUGAGUGGUCCGGUGAGGCUUUGGGAUCUGAGCGGAAAGAGCGUUUCGCUGUUUCUGCCCGGAAAACUCAGUCGAACCUUAUCAUUUAGAGGAAGGAGAAGUCGUAACA